AGGACGAACGCUGGCGGCGUGCUUAACACAUGCAAGUGGAGCGACGAACCAGGCUUCGGCCUGGGGCAGAGCCGCGAACGGGUGAGUAACACGUGGGUAACGUGCCCCGAUGACUGGGACAACCCGGGGGAAACCCGGGCUAAUACCGGAUAUCGCCCCCUCACGCGAGUGAGGUGUAGUAAAGGAGCUUCGGCCUCCGCAGUCGGGAUCGGCCCGCGGCCCAUUAGCUUGUUGGUGAGGUAACGGCUCACCAAGGCUGCGAGUGGGUAGCUGGUCUGGAGAGGACGAU
RNAcentral lists this ribosomal RNA (289 nucleotides) under uncultured soil bacterium. RNAcentral describes it as "partial 16S ribosomal RNA". It matches the Rfam family "Bacterial small subunit ribosomal RNA", at positions 26 to 304 of the family's 1533-position model. The record is from RNAcentral.